UGGUUAGAAACAGGCCGUCUGUCAAACCAAAGAUCAUGUUUGAGUUGUUUUUGGGGAAGAGAAACAUCAAAUAACCCUUUAAUAAAAUAUUGUUUGAUAUUUAUGUUGUUACAGAUUUUCUCUCUGUGGACUCUCAAAGACUCACUGUGAAGUUGUGGCCUCAGCUCUGAAGUCCAACCCCUCCCAUCUGAGACAUCUGGACCUGAGUAACAACGAGCUGAAGGAUUCAGGAGUGAAGCUUCUCUCUGCAGGACUGGAGAGUCCAAACUGCAGACUGGAGACUCUGAUGUGAGACACCAUUUCCUUCUGAUCUAACAAUAAGAUGUGACAGCUGCUGCCUUAGAUUUUUCUCUGUGGUUUUUCCAUCAACUUUGGUCGAGCAGUUUGAAUUUGUCGUUGUAAAACUUCGACACAGGAAGAAAAAUCUGACAUUUCAGAGUUGACUUUGAGGAGAACGAUGGAUGUAGAAAGGAAGCAGGAGAAAAUCAGUCCCACAAAUAUUACACAUGCUUGUAGAGGGCAGGAGCAGCACAGACUAAAGGCUGAUACUGAACUGAUCCACAGUUAAUGUGAUCACCAAUGAAUGAAUGAAGUGUCAGAGAAAUGAUGAGCUGCAGAUUGAAACCUGAAGAACAAAGUUAAUCCAACUCUGGAUAUUUCAUUUGGAAACUCUUGAAAACUUGAAUUUCUUCUUUGCUCAGUCGUGUUCAAAUGUAAAAACCAGAUCCAGAUUUGUCUGCAGUUUUCACUUCAGUUUGUUGAACAUGAACAUCAUCUUGUCCAGCUGGUCCAUAAAAACCUCUCUGAUCAAUGAUCUGUUGGUUUAUUUAAGAGUAGUUUGGCAGUUGUUGACAGCAGACGGACAGACCCCUGAAUAAACUCCUGACUGUUUUCAUCUUCAUGAAGAAUUCAGGACUACAAAAGAACCUUUGAGAUUUCUCACAGGAGUUUCUCAGGAUCUCACUAAAGUUUUCUGUUUCUGUAAAAUUUUCUUGACUGAUAAAUUCCUCUGGAUCUUCAAAAAGUUUAGAGAAGAUUUUACAAAGUUCCUGAAGAUCAACUCUGAAAAAGUUCUUCUUCCGUGUCCUUCAGGGUUCAAGAACAUUGAAUCAUUAAAAACAGGAACAGUUUCUUCAGAGGUUACAUGAUUUUUUUCUUUUUUCAGACUGUGACAGGUGUUUAUUAGUCUUUUUGACACGUUACAAUAAUGAGGAUAAAGUCAUGGACUAAACUUGGGCUCCCAGUUUCCUUGUUGUUGUUUCUUCAGCUAGCAUCAUUGUUUUCAUCACAGUUCUUAAAGUAAUAAUGAUGCUUCAUAAAUUCAGAGUCACAAAAAAACACCAAACAAACCAAAUCUGAAAAAAAUCCACUUUUUCAUCAAAUGAGUUUAAUCGGUCAGAACAUGAGGUUUGAGUUUUCAUGAGGAGGAAACGAGAAAGAUCUGCUCUGACAGUGAGAAACACAGACGCCUGAAUCUACACUGACAGACACACAAAUACAGACAGAGAGACACAGACAGAGAGACACAGACACAGACACACAAAUACAGACACACAGAGACACAGACACACAAACAGACUAACAGAGAUUUUCUUCUUCGUCUCUUUGCUGUGAUGACUGAAGUCACAAAAACAAAGUUUUCUUCGUCACUUUUAUGAUUGAACCAAAUAAGUUAAAGAACCAAACUCUCAGAUUUUCUUCUUCUCAAUAUUAUUUGAACCAUUUAGAUUUUUCUCCUGAUCAAUAUUCAAUGAUCAGAUUGAUCAGGUUCCUGUUUUGGCUCCACUGCCUCUUUUCUGCAGCUCAAUAACUGCUCAUAUGGUUUGAAAGGUUCCUGCAGUAAAACCCGAUUAGAGAGUGGACUAAAUGAAAUGUGAGUGAACUCAGCCAUCAGUGAAUCAAUGACAAAGUGAGAGGAAGAGUGGAUCUGUCUGCUGUCUGACCUUGUUGAUCCUGAUGAAGGUGAGGGAGAAGAGUAAAGCAGUAAAGGUGAUGUUGUUGCAGACAGAGUCAGCUGACCUGUCUCAUCAGAGUCUCAUCCAUUCUCUGUUUGGCAGAGCGCUGAUGUUACAGUCUGAGAGCACAUUCAGGUUCAGCUUCACAUGGGCUGGAUCUGCUCAAUACAAACUCUUGAGACCAGCCUGGUUGAGGGAGGUGGGCUCAGUGUCCUGGGUGACUCUCUCUGAGCUCUUCUUGGUUGAGAGUAUUUCUGGUUUGUCUCUGACUUCCAUGAACUCAGAUCUGGAGGAUUGCUGGCUGGUCCGGUCCAGUUCUGACAGUAGAGACAACACAGUCUGUUAUUCUGGGUUGAGUGUUCUUGUUGAAGAUCAGUGUACAGUGAGGGAUGAAGGCAGACAAAGAUCCUCCUGUUUCCUCCAUGUCACAGUUCAAGUUCAUUUUGAAGACUUUGAUUGAUACGAGCGCUGAAGAGGAACAGGAAACGUGGAGUAGAGAGUGAGGGAGGACUUACAGCAAAGGAUCAUGGGAGUCCAACCAGCAACUGCUGCAACAAGGACUCCACCUUCUGAUCAUCUGAACCUCUAAUCCAAACCAGUGCUCCAUCACAUUUGAUGUCUUGUCUGUUAUUUUACAUGGAGGGUCAGAGCAGACCAGAUCAUGAGCUCUGACAGACUGGAUCUGGUCCAAAGGUCUCCUGUUGGAGUUCUCUAAGCUCCAUAUUUUAAUCCUGAACACCUGAAGUUUGAUUAUUAAUUAUUUUUAUCUUCAUUCUCUUUCCUUUUUUCAGAUUGUAUAAAUGCAGUUUGUCAGAGAUCAGCUGUUCUUCUCUGGCCUCAGCUCUGAAGUCCAACCCCUCCCAUCUGAGAUAUCUGGACCUGAGUUACAACAAUCUGCAGGAUUCAGGAAUGAAGCUGCUGUGUGACUCUCUGCAGAGUCCAAACUGUAAACUGGAGACUCUGAGGUGAGACACCAUUUCCUUCUGAUCUAACAAUAAGAUGUGACAGCUGCUGCCUUAGAUUUUUCUCUGUGGUUUUUCCAUCAACUUUGGUCGAGCAGUUUGAAUUUGUCGUUGUAAAACUUCAACACAGGAAGAAAAAUCCGACAUUUCAGAGUCGACUUUGAGGAGAACGAUGGAUGUAGAAAGGAAGCAGGAGAAAAUCAGUCCACAAAUAUUACACAUGCUUGUAGAGGGCAGGAGCAGCACAGACUAAAGGCUGAUACUGAACUGAUCCACAGUUAAUGUGAUCACUAAUGAAUGAAUGAAGUGUCAGAGAAAUGAUGAGCUGCAGAUUGAAACCUGAAGAACAAAGUUAAUCCAACUCUGGAUAUUUCAUUUGGAAACUCUUGAAAACUUGAAUUUCUUCUUUGCUCAGUCGUGUUCAAAUGUAAAAACCAGAUCCAGAUUUUUCUGCAGUUUUCACUUCAGUUUGUUGAACAUGAACAUCAUCUUGUCCAGUUGGUCCAUAAAAACCUCUCUGAUCAAUGAUCUGUUGGUUUAUUUAAGAGUAGUUUGGCAGUUGUUGACAGCAGACGGACAGACCCCCUGAAUAAACUCCUGACUAUUUUCAUCUUCAUGAAGAAUUCAGGACUACAAAAAAACCUUUGAGAUUUCUCACAGGAGUUUCUCAGGAUCUCACUAAAGUUUUCUGUUUCUGUAAAAUUUUCUUGACUGAUAAAUUCCUCUGGAUCUUCAAAAAGUUUAGAGAGGAUUUUACAAAGUUCCUGAAGAUCAACUCUGAAAAAGUUCUUCUUCCGUGUUCCUUCAGGGUUCAAGAACAUUGAAUCAUUAAAAACAGGAACAGUUUCUUCAGAGGUUACAUGAUUUUUUUCUUUUUUCAGACUGUGACAGGUGUUUAUUAGUCUUUUUGACACGUUACAAUAAUGAGGAUAAAGUCAUGGACUAAACUUGGGCUCCCAGUUUCCUUGUUGUUGUUUCUUCAGCUAGCAUCAUUGUUUUCAUCUCAGUUAUUAAAGUAAUAAUGAUGCUUCAUAAAUUCAGAGUCACAAAAAAACACCAAACAAACCAAAUCUGAAAAAAAUCCACUUUUUCAUCAAAUGAGUUUAAUCGGUCAGAACAUGAGGUUUGAGUUUUCAUGAGGAGGAAACGAGAAAGAUCUGCUCUGACAGUGAGAAACACAGACGCCUGAAUCUACACUGACAGACACACAAAUACAGACAGAGAGACACAGACAGAGAGACACAGACACAGACACAGACACACAAAUACAGACACACAGAGAGACAGACACACAAACACAGACUAACAGAGAUGUUCCUCUCUGUCUCUUUGCUGUGAUGACUGAAGUCACAAAAACAAAGUUUUCUUCGUCACGUUUAUGAUUGAACCAAAUAAGUUAAAGAACCAAACUCUCAGAUUUUCUUCUUCUCAAUAUUAUUUGAACCAUUUUGAUUUUUCUCCUGAUCAAUAUUCAAUGAUCAGAUUGAUUAGGUUCCUGUUUUGGCUCCACUGCCUCUUUUCUGCAGCUCAAUAACUGCUCAUAUGGUUUGAAAGGUUCCUGCAGUAAAACCCGAUUAGAGAGUGGACUAAAUGAAAUGUGAGUGAACUCAGCCAUCAGUGAAUCAAUGACAAAGUGAGAGGAAGAGUGGAUCUGUCUGCUGUCUGACCUUGUUGAGCCUGAUGAAGGUGAGGGAGAAGAGUAAAGCAGUAAAGGUGAUGUUGUUGCAGACAGAGUCAGCUGACCUGUCUCAUCAGAGUCUCAUCCAUUCUCUGUUUGGCAGAGCACUGAUGUUACAGUCUGAGAGCACAUUCAGGUUCAGCUUCACAUGGGCUGGAUCUGCUCAAUACAAACUCUUGAGACCAGCCUGGUUGAGGGAGGUGGGCUCAGUGUCCUGGGUGACUCUCUCUGAGCUCUUCUUGGUUGAGAGUAUUUCUGGUUUGUCUCUGACUUCCAUGAACUCAGAUCUGGAGGAUUGCUGGCUGGUCCGGUCCAGUUCUGACAGUAGAGACAACACAGUCAGUUAUUCUGGGUUGAGUGUUCUUGUUGAAGAUCAGUGUACAGUGAGGGAUGAAGGCAGACAAAGAUCCUCCUGUUUCCUCCAUGUCACAGUUCAAGUUCAUUUUGAAGACUUUGAUUGAUCCGAGCGCUGAAGAGGAACAGGAAACGUGGAGUAGAGAGUGAGGGAGGACUUACAGCAAAGGAUCAUGGGAGUCCAACCAGCAACUGCUGCAACAACGACUCCACCUUCUGAUCAUCUGAACCUCUAAUCCAAACCAGUGCUCCAUCACAUUUGAUGUCUUGUCUGUUAUUUUACAUGGAGGGUCAGAGCAGACCAGAUCAUGAGCUCUGACAGACUGGAUCUGGUCCAAAGGUCUCCUGUUGGAGUUCUCUAAGCUCCAUAUUUUAAACCUGAACACCUGAAGUUUGAUUAUUAAUUAUUUUUAUCUUCAUUCUCUUUCCUUUUUUCAGAUUGUAUAAAUGCAGUUUGUCAGAGAUCAGCUGUUCUUCUCUGGCCUCAGCUCUGAAGUCCAACCCCUCCCAUCUGAAACAUCUGGACCUGAGUUACAACAAGCUGCAGGAUUCAGGAGUGAAGCUUCUGUGUGAAUUUGUGCAGAGUCCAAACUGUAAACUGGAGACUCUGAAGUGAGACUUUUUCCCUCCAUUCAAACAUGAUCAUGAUUUGUUUGUGAUGAUGACACUAAACUGCUGACUCAGGACUGAAAUACUGACCCAGACUGAACACCUUCAGUCCAGAGUAGAUUUUCUUCAUCAGUGGAUUAUUUGAUUGACUCCAGUUAGAUCACUGCUGAGCUCCAGUGAAUUAAAACCUGAACCCAAGAAGAAAACUCUUUGUAGAGUUCACAGUGAGAAGCUCAUUCAGACAGAAAACAGAAGCAGGGGGAGAUUUGUCAGAUGAGAACCAUUCAAACUUUUGUUCAGGACAAGAUCAGGGAAUAGAAAAAACUCAGAGUUUAGUUUCUGACACUGAUGAAAGUCCAGCUCUGUUACUUUGAAUUUUGUUUUUGAAUCUUUGUGUGAAAAUCUGAAUUUUCUGGUUUAUCUGCACUUUUCUGAAGCCUUACUGUGUUUAGACUGAAAUAUUUACCUCUCAAAGACGUGAAAUUUUUGGUUCAGCAAAGUGAAAAUAUUCUGAACAUCCUUUGUUUCCCAUCCGUCCUGAAGUCACUGACAUUUUCUGAAAAUAUUGAGCUGCAUCUACAAUCAGUAAAAAAGUCUCUGAGUUUUUUAUUUCACUAUUUAAUGUGUUUUUGAAUUCACUGUUUCAAACUGACUUCCUGUUUGGUUCAGCUCUUUGGAGCGUCACUUUUCUCUGAUUUAUACUUUCCAAACCUUUCCCCUGAACUCUACAGAUUUAAGACAUCAGGUUUCAAACUGGAUCAUUUUUCUCUAAAAUCUCAUUAUUUCCUCUUUAUUUAGGUUAAUGAGCUGCAGUUUGACGAAGAUCAGCUGUUCUUCUCUGGCCUCAGCUCUGAAGUCCAACCCCUCCCAUCUGAAAACUCUGUGGCUGUAUGGAAACAAUCUGCAGGGUUCAGACAUGAAGCUGCUGUGUGAUCUUCAGAAGAGUCCUGACUACAGACUGAGGACUCUGAAGUCAGUAUAGAGUUGGAGUUAGUCUGUGCUGAUCUCUCCUGUUCCUCUCCACACAGUAUCACAGCAGAUAUUCAGUAUUUCCUGCUGACUCUUCGACCCUCUCAGAGGAUUAUCUCUUUAGUGAAGCUGUGAGAACAGAAAUCAUCAAACCAGGAGUGUAAGAGUG
RNAcentral lists this long non-coding RNA (6696 nucleotides) under Xyrichtys novacula (pearly razorfish). The record is from RNAcentral. Lineage: Eukaryota; Metazoa; Chordata; Actinopteri; Labriformes; Labridae.